CUGACAGGCACUGCUGCAAAGGACAGACCGGAAGAGUGAGAGUCCCAAGGGGAAAUGACCUUUCCUGAGCCCCCUACUGCUAGACUGGAGAAGACAUCCAGGGGUUGAGGCCUUCCCCAGCAGCCUCCAUGAGGGGCACCGGAAGCCAUCAUCCCCACAAAAGCCUCCCGUGCCCCUGCCUGCCUUUGAGGCUCUGCCAAGCACAGUGAUGGCGACUACAGCCUUAUUCUCGUUUGGAUGACAUUGAAAACAAAUUACCUCAUCCCUCUGGACCUCAGUUUACAUGGCUGUGGAAUGGAGGCAGCAGCAGUAACACCACG
Microtus oregoni (creeping vole) is the source of this 320-nucleotide long non-coding RNA. RefSeq lists it as uncharacterized. The record is from RefSeq and is a predicted model, not a curated record. The transcript is spliced from 3 exons. NCBI's taxonomy places the organism in Eukaryota, Metazoa, Chordata, Mammalia, Rodentia, Cricetidae.